This 490-nucleotide ribosomal RNA is filed under the name uncultured bacterium. RNAcentral's name for it is "partial 16S ribosomal RNA". It matches the Rfam family "Bacterial small subunit ribosomal RNA", at positions 30 to 507 of the family's 1533-position model. The record is from RNAcentral.
AUUGAACGCUGGCGGCAGGCCUAACACAAGCAAGUCGAACGGUAACAGGAAGCAGCUUGCUGCUUCGCUGACGAGUGGCGGACGGGUGAGUAAUGUCUGGGAAACUGCCUGAUGGAGGGGGAUAACUACUGGAAACGGUAGCUAAUACCGCAUAACGUCGCAAGACCAAAGAGGGGGACCUUAGGGCCUCUUGCCAUCGGAUGUGCCCAGAUGGGAUUAGCUAGUAGGUGGGGUAACGGCUCACCUAGGCGACGAUCCCUAGCUGGUCUGAGAGGAUGACCAGCCACACUGGAACUGAGACACGGUCCAGACUCCUACGGGAGGCAGCAGUGGGGAAUAUUGCACAAUGGGCGCAAGCCUGAUGCAGCCAUGCCGCGUGUAUGAAGAAGGCCUUCGGGUUGUAAAGUACUUUCAGCGGGGAGGAAGGGAGUAAAGUUAAUACCUUUGCUCAUUGACGUUACCCGCAGAAGAAGCACCGGCUAACUCCGUG